AGUGAACGCUGGCGGUAGGCCUAACACAUGCAAGUCGAACGGCAGCACAGUAAGAGCUUGCUCUUACGGGUGGCGAGUGGCGGACGGGUGAGGAAUACAUCGGAAUCUACUUUUUCGUGGGGGAUAACGUAGGGAAACUUACGCUAAUACCGCAUACGACCUACGGGUGAAAGCAGGGGAUCUUCGGACCUUGCGCGAUUGAAUGAGCCGAUGUCGGAUUAGCUAGUUGGCGGGGUAAAGGCCCACCAAGGCGACGAUCCGUAGCUGGUCUGAGAGGAUGAUCAGCGACACGAGAACUGGAACACGGUCCAGACGCCUACGGGAGGCAGCAGUGGGGAAUAUUGGACAAUAGGCGCAAGCCUGAUCCAGCCAUACCGAGUGUGUGAAGAAGGCCUUCGGGGUGUAAAGACCUUUUGUUGGGAAAGAAAAGCAGCAGGUUAAUACCCCGCUGUUCUGACGGUAACCAAAGAAUAAGCACCGGCUAACUUCGUG
RNAcentral lists this ribosomal RNA (492 nucleotides) under uncultured bacterium. RNAcentral's name for it is "partial 16S ribosomal RNA". It matches the Rfam family "Bacterial small subunit ribosomal RNA", at positions 29 to 507 of the family's 1533-position model. The record is from RNAcentral.